GAUGAACGCUGGCGGCGUGCCUAAUACAUGCAAGUCGAGCGAACAGACGAGGAGCUUGCUCCUCUGACGUUAGCGGCGGACGGGUGAGUAACACGUGGAUAACCUACCUAUAAGACUGGGAUAACUUCGGGAAACCGGAGCUAAUAGCGGAUAAUAUAUUGAACCGCAUGGUUGAAUAGUGAAAGACGGUUUUGCUGUCACUUAUAGAUGGAUCCGCGCCGCAUUAGCUAGUUGGUAAGUUAACGGCUUAUCAAGGCUACGAUGCGUAGCCGACCUGAGAGGGUGAUCGGCCACACUGGAACUGAGACGCGGUCCAGACUCCUACGAGACGCAGCAGUAGGGUAUCUUCCGCAAUGGGCGAAAGCCUGACGGAGCAACGCCGCGUGAGUGAUGAAGGUCUUCGGAUCGUAAAACUCUGUUAUUAGGGAAGAACAACUGUGUAAGUAGCUAUGCACGUCUUGACGGUACCUAAUCAGAAAGCCACGGCUAACUACGUG
RNAcentral lists this ribosomal RNA (497 nucleotides) under uncultured bacterium. Its description in RNAcentral is "partial 16S ribosomal RNA". It matches the Rfam family "Bacterial small subunit ribosomal RNA", at positions 28 to 507 of the family's 1533-position model. The record is from RNAcentral.